GAGUUUGAUCGUGGCUCAGAACGAACGUUAGCGGCGCGCCUAACACAUGCAAGUCGAGCGAGAAAGGGAGCUCAGUUCUUCGGAACCAGAGGCCCCGGUACAGCGGCGCACGGGUGAGUAACACGUAGGUAAUCUGCCUCCGAGUGGGGGAUAACCUUCCGAAAGGAGGGCUAAUACCGCAUGAGACCACGCCUUCGAGAGGAGGAGGGGUCAAAGCCGGCCACUAUACAUAAGCUGGCGCUUGGAGAUGAGCCUGCGGCCCAUCAGCUUGUUGGUAGGGUAACGGCCUACCAAGGCAAAGACGGGUAGCUGGUCUGAGAGGAUGAUCAGCCACACUGGAACUGAGACACGGUCCAGACUCCUACGGGAGGCAGCAGUGGGGAAUCUUGCGCAAUGGGCGAAAGCCUGACGCAGCGACGCCGCGUGGGUGAUGAA
This 435-nucleotide ribosomal RNA is filed under the name uncultured delta proteobacterium. RNAcentral's name for it is "bacterial SSU rRNA". It matches the Rfam family "Bacterial small subunit ribosomal RNA", at positions 9 to 412 of the family's 1533-position model. The record is from RNAcentral. Lineage: Bacteria; Deltaproteobacteria.